This 714-nucleotide ribosomal RNA is filed under the name Pholiota cf. spumosa UC 1999270. Its description in RNAcentral is "eukaryotic LSU rRNA". The stretch from base 295 to 448 matches the Rfam family "5.8S ribosomal RNA". Lineage: Eukaryota; Fungi; Basidiomycota; Agaricomycetes; Agaricales; Strophariaceae. The record is from RNAcentral.
GAGGAAGUAAAAGUCGUAACAAGGUUUCCGUAGGUGAACCUGCGGAAGGAUCAUUAUUGAAUGAACUUGGCAUGGUUGUUGCUGGUCCUCUCGGGGGCAUGUGCACACCGGUCAUCUUUAUCUUUCCACCUGUGCACAUUUUGUAGGCCAAAAAAUUUCCCGAGGCAACUCGGUUUGGGGGACUGCUGUGCAUCACUGCCGGCUUUCCCUGGAUUUUUGGGCCUAUGUUUUCACAUACACCAUAAGAAUGUAAUAGAAUGUUAUAUUGGGCUUUGUUGCCUAUAAACUAUAUACAACUUUCAGCAACGGAUCUCUUGGCUCUCGCAUCGAUGAAGAACGCAGCGAAAUGCGAUAAGUAAUGUGAAUUGCAGAAUUCAGUGAAUCAUCGAAUCUUUGAACGCACCUUGCGCUCCUUGGUAUUCCGAGGAGCAUGCCUGUUUGAGUGUCAUUAAAUUCUCAACCUUAUCAGCUUUUGUUGAUAAUGGCUUGGAUGUGGGGGUUUAUUUGCUGGCUUCUUAAUGAUAUCAGCUCCCCUUAAAUGCAUUAGCUGGUUGCCUUGUGCAGACUUGUCUAUUGGUGUGAUAAUUAUCUACGCCGUGGACUGACUUGCCAGUAUUAGCACCGCUUCUAACUGUCUGUUUACUCAGACAAUAUAUAUGACAAUUUGACCUCAAAUCAGGUAGGACUACCCGCUGAACUUAAGCAUAUCAAUAA